GACGAACGCUGGCGGCGUGCCUAAUACAUGCAAGUAGAACGCUGAAGGAGGAGCUUGCUUCUCUGGAUGAGUUGCGAACGGGUGAGUAACGCGUAGGUAACCUGCCUGGUAGCGGGGGAUAACUAUUGGAAACGAUAGCUAAUACCGCAUAAGAGUAGAUGUUGCAUGACAUUUGCUUAAAAGGUGCAAUUGCAUCACUACCAGAUGGACCUGCGUUGUAUUAGCUAGUUGGUGGGGUAACGGCUCACCAAGGCGACGAUACAUAGCCGACCUGAGAGGGGGAUCGGCCACACUGGGAAUGGGACACGGCCCAGACUCCUACGGGAGGCAGCAGUAGGGAAUCUUCGGCAAUGGACGGAAGUCUGACCGAGCAACGCCGCGUGAGUGAAGAAGGUUUUCGGAUCGUAAAGCUCUGUUGUAAGAGAAGAACGAGUGUGAGAGUGGAAAGUUCACACUGUGACGGUAUCUUACCAGAAAGGGACGGCUAACUACGUG
This 495-nucleotide ribosomal RNA is filed under the name uncultured bacterium. Its description in RNAcentral is "partial 16S ribosomal RNA". It matches the Rfam family "Bacterial small subunit ribosomal RNA", at positions 28 to 507 of the family's 1533-position model. The record is from RNAcentral.